GAUGAAGAACGCAGCGAAAUGCGAUACUUGGUGUGAAUUGCAGAAUCCCGUGAACCAUCGAGUCUUUGAACGCAAGUUGCGCCCGUAGCCAUUAGGCCGAGGGCACGUCUGCCUGGGCGUCACACAACGUUGCCCCCCCAAACCUCGACUUACAAGAGGACGGGGGGCGGAUGCUGGCCUCCCGUGUGCCACGGCUCGCGGUUGGCCUAAAUGCGAGUACUCGGCGACGAGCGCCGCGGCAAUCGGUGGUUGUCUAACCCUCGGUGCCAUGCUGCGCGCGCGAUUCGCUCACUGUUACUCGACGACCCCAAUGCGUCGUAGCCACGACCCUCACAACGCGACCCCAGGUCAGGCGGGGCUACCCGCUGAGUUUAAGCAUAUCAAUAAGCGGAGGA
This 395-nucleotide unclassified non-coding RNA is filed under the name soil metagenome. Its description in RNAcentral is "partial contains 5.8S ribosomal RNA, internal transcribed spacer 2, and large subunit ribosomal RNA". The stretch from base 1 to 122 matches the Rfam family "5.8S ribosomal RNA", at positions 35 to 154 of the family's 154-position model. The record is from RNAcentral.